This 393-nucleotide ribosomal RNA is filed under the name uncultured bacterium. Its description in RNAcentral is "bacterial SSU rRNA". It matches the Rfam family "Bacterial small subunit ribosomal RNA", at positions 29 to 421 of the family's 1533-position model. The record is from RNAcentral.
AUUGAACGCUGGCGGCAUGCUUUACACAUGCAAGUCGAACGGCAGCGCGGGGGCAACCCUGGCGGCGAGUGGCGAACGGGUGAGUAAUGCAUCGGAACGUAUCCUGUAAUGGGGGAUAACGUAGCGAAAGUUACGCUAAUACCGCAUACGCUCGAGAGAGGAAAGUGGGGGAUCGCAAGACCUCACGUUAUAGGAGCGGCCGAUGUCCGAUUAGCUAGUUGGUGGGGUAAAGGCCUACCAAGGCGACGAUCGGGUAGCGUGGUCUGAGAGGAUGAUCAGCCACACUGGGACUGAGACACGGCCCAGACUCCUACGGGAGGCAGCAGUGGGGAAUUUUGGACAAUGGGCGAAAGCCUGAUCCAGCCAUGCCGCGUGCGGGAAGAAGGCCUUCGG